CUUACCCUCCACGCUAUUGCCUGCUCCAGCUGGCCUUCUUCCUCCCCCACCCGAUAUAGCCACCCAUGGCACCUCCUCUCUUCCAUGGCCGCCUCCCUCAAGCUCCAGCCGAGCUCCCUCCUCCGUGCGGCAAGACAACAGGCUAACGCUCCCUGUUCCUCCCUUCCCACGGCGCCCAGCCCAAGCUCCUCUUCCCCACCAUGGCUGAGCUCACCGGAUCUCCUCCCCUCGGCGCAGUAGGUCGAGCAGCUCCUCAACUCCCCCCUCUGCUCGAGCAAGCCGUGUAUGGAGCCCCCAACCUGCAGCAAGCCGGAGCACGCAGCAGCAGUACUACUCACGUCUAGUUGUCCAGGGAAGAAGAAGCCCCUUUAUCUCUAUGAUAUGUGGGCUCAAGGCCAUGGGAACCUUCGGACUCGGGAUGAAGUUGUUCACAAUAUGAAAAGCAUGGUCGGGAUGAAGGUCGAACCAGCUCCGGAGAUACGCGCAAGGAAGCUUCGGCUCAGUAGCAGAAAAGAACCGACUUAAAGAGGAAAAGGCUAUCUAGUCUUCGAUAGAUUGUCCUAAUGUCAAUAGUAAACAUGAAGGGCAUGAAUGUAAUUUUACAUAGGCUGCGCCCUGUGCCUAUAAAUAGGUGAACCAUUAACAUUUGUGUUGCCUUGUUCUUAACUCAUAGCAUUUGAGAACAAGUCCCCAACAACUAAGUUUGUCUAUAUAGAAGCCAUAGCAAAUUGAAGUGUACUUAACUAGUAUAAUAAUAAAGGAACUAAUGAAAGAUUAGAGCGAAUGUGAUAAAUGCUUGCACUUGCGAUGUUGUGGUUGCAAUGGAUAAUAAUAGGUAGUAAUCUUCGUCCUUCCAAUGCUUGACACAGGGCGAAGGAUGGAGGUCUCCUUCGAAGGGUAUUCAGUGAAAAACAUCCCAAGAGGAGACAACGAGCAGGCAGAUUUACUAGCUAAAUCAGCGGCACAGGAGCUCCCACUCCCCUCAGAAUUAUUCUUCGAAACUCUCAAAGCAUCUUCGGUCGAGCUCAUGGAGCGAGCGGUACUUACAAUUUCACCUGUGCACAGCAAGGAUUGGAGAACAGAAAUUGUAUCUUUCCUUUAAGGCAAUUAUCCUUCGGAUGACGAAGUUUACAUAAAAAUGACACAUGUCUGGACAAGGCCAUAUGUGAUCAUAGAAGGGGAAUUGUUCAAA
Zea mays is the source of this 1192-nucleotide long non-coding RNA. RefSeq lists it as uncharacterized. The record is from RefSeq and is a predicted model, not a curated record. NCBI's taxonomy places the organism in Eukaryota, Viridiplantae, Streptophyta, Magnoliopsida, Poales, Poaceae. The transcript is spliced from 2 exons.